Molecule: ribosomal RNA, 464 nt
Filed under: Vreelandella stevensii
Lineage: Bacteria; Pseudomonadati; Pseudomonadota; Gammaproteobacteria; Oceanospirillales; Halomonadaceae
Description: partial 16S ribosomal RNA
Rfam family: Bacterial small subunit ribosomal RNA
Source: RNAcentral
CCUACGGAGUGCAGCAGUGGGGAAUAUUGGACAAUGGGCGAAAGCCUGAUCCAGCCAUGCCGCGUGUGUGAAGAAGGCCUUCGGGUUGUAAAGCACUUUCAGUGGGGAAGAAAGCCUUGGGGCUAAUACCCUCGAGGAAGGACAUCACCCACAGAAGAAGCACCGGCUAACUCCGUGCCAGCAGCCGCGGUAAUACGGAGGGUGCGAGCGUUAAUCGGAAUUACUGGGCGUAAAGCGCGCGUAGGCGGUCUGAUAAGCCGGUUGUGAAAGCCCCGGGCUCAACCUGGGAACGGCAUCCGGAACUGUCAGGCUAGAGUGCAGGAGAGGAAGGUAGAAUUCCCGGUGUAGCGGUGAAAUGCGUAGAGAUCGGGAGGAAUACCAGUGGCGAAGGCGGCCUUCUGGACUGACACUGACGCUGAGGUGCGAAAGCGUGGGUAGCAAACAGGAUUAGAUACCCUGGUAGC